Non-coding RNA from Xyrichtys novacula (pearly razorfish), 10934 nucleotides. NCBI's taxonomy places the organism in Eukaryota, Metazoa, Chordata, Actinopteri, Labriformes, Labridae. The record is from the annotation of a GenBank genome assembly.
AUUGCGGGGGGUUUGGGGGUGAACCCUAAGCCCAACACCACCCACACUGAGCUUGUGUGUAGUUUCUAUGACAGGGGGCUUGGCUGUACUUGCACAUAAACACACACCUAUGAACAAACAAUAACCCCCCCACCCUACCCCACCUCUUUCUCACCCCUCUUUUCUUACAAUGGGAGCAGGGGGACAGGUGCUGCAGCCUCAUGGGUUUUUUAGCCCCUCAGACAUUGUCUUCUAUUCAUUAGUCCCUUAUGCACCACACAACGGCACACCCACCCACACAAACACACACACCCACACAUUGUGAUAAAAAAACUCAGGAUUGUUUUUCCGUCUCUGUCAGCGGUUAUGAUUUAUGAUCAUAAAUCUCUCAGAAGAGCCAUACGCUGAAACAUCUGUGUCUGCGGGAUCCUGGGAUGUCAGCAUCUGUGUGGCCCAGUUCUGCUUUUCUUGGAACAAUUUGACUCAGUGUGAGAGAUGGAUGCUGGUCAGAGGCAGUGUUAAUUUUGUAAUGUCUUAUAAAUUUAGAGUUUGUUUAGUUUUUAGUCUGUUUCUUUUCACUUUUUGUCACAUAUAAGUGAUUUUGGUCCGUUCUAGUCAAUAAAUCAUCAUUCGUUUAUCUUUAUCAUUCGUCAAAACAGUUUUUGUCUUUGUACUUAUUCAACAAAUCGAUAAGAAAUUAAUGUCAAUGUUGUUCUGGUGUAUGAACCUGCAAACUUUCCCAUUUGAACACUCAAACUUCUUUAAUACUUGGAUCCCUGACCUUCACUGAAGAAUUUCAUUAUCAAUGUGAUACUGAUAUGACGUCCCAACUGAUCUACUCAGACAUGUUUUUACUCCAAACCAAGAAACAAAACAUUAUUUGUGACCACUUUGGUUUUAUCUACUUUCUUUGGCUUUUUCCUUAUACGUAGUGGGGGAUGGGGGGUCUAUUGUCAUCCCUUAAUGUCUGUAAGUUCGAGAAACACCCCUGGACAUGUGCUUGACACUCAGUUCACAGUGCUUUCAGCGGCAUUCUCAUGCUUGAUUUAGAGUUGAAUUUGCUGUUCGAUGAAUCUUGGAUUGAGAAAAAUCCUUAUCUUGCUUUGAAAAACAUAACAAAACAAAACAAAAAAACAUAUUAGUAAUAGUUUCUUGUUAUCAGUGAAGCAUUUGAGCUUGUUAUUCUCUCUUUUUUGUAAUGGAAAAAGGGUGAUUGACUAACAAUUAGGUGUUAGUUUUUGUUUACCAAAUUAGCAGCGGGUGGAAGACAAUUGAAUCAAAUCAAAUAUUGAAUUUACCCCCAGGGAUGAAAAAAAAAAGUUACUCUAAUCUUAGUUUAAAGCAUUUGGAUUUUAUAUCUUAAAUUUGAGCAAGAAACACAACACUUACACAUAAUAGGUAUUGUUUUUGUAACUGAGGAUACAAGAGUUUGAACAACCAUUAUAUUAUAUUAAUAUACAAAUAUGAACAUUUUCCCACCCUUAAAGACCCGCUUGAUGUCCUUGUGGUCGAAGCUGUAGUGAAAUGUACCACUCACUGUGAAUCUUGGCUUCAAUAAAAUGUUAGCAAAGCUUGUUUCAGCAGUGUGCUAUGACUCAGUUGAUGCAUAAGCCCUUUGUAAGCCAGUAGAAGUCAUUGGUUUUGUUUCAGUUUGUUAAAACUCCUCACUGGAGCUUUAAACAAGCACUUUGGUAGCUUAGGGCAAAUUUCUUUAUGGUCGCAUGAAUUCUCCGGUGUUGAAUCAUUGUAAAAGUUAUUCAAGAAGUUAAGAGCAAAUUCUUUUAAUAUGAUCAUAAUCUUUUCCUAUCAUAGGGGAUUUAAUCAGCUUCAAUAAGUUAAGGAAAUGUGUUUCACAUGGAGUGAGGAGUUUGUCAGGACACUGCCAUUGUAAUGUCUUCAUUAUUGAUGUAUUUUACAUGUCAGGCCUGUCCUGUAACAAAGCAGUAGUGAGUGACACAUCACCAGCCCUCCAGUAGAUACCACUGAGUGUGAUCCAAUUGUCCAUGGUGGGAUCAGUGGAUCAUCCGGGACCCCCCUGCUAUGCAGCCCUUCCUCCCCCCUCCCCCAAAACAGCAAGGGGCCGCUAGUGCAACAGGGGGGCCAAUGAUCAAUAAGGAUUUUGUGUGUUUGAUUGUCUGUGUGUGUUUGUGUGUCUGCUGCGGUCGUUAGGUGUCUGUUUCCCAGUCUGUGUGUGUGUGUGUGUUUAAGUGUUGUGAGGAGGGGGCUGCAGGAAGGGUAGAGGUGUCUUUUAGUUCAGCAUACGGUUGUGACUGAUAGGGUGGCGGACCCCAGCGUGUGGGGGCCCAGGGGAGUAGCUCUGUAUUGGCGGACUCUGAGGAGAAGCUUUCUGUUCCCCCAUCGAUCCCAACAUGUCAAUUAGACAGAUUCAAAUAAAUGUGCCCUCAACCUCUGCAGGCCAGCCGUAUGCAGAUACUCCCAUGUAAGUGACACCCACUCACUGGCUCCCAUGUCACCGGAGCUAGGCUGAUACUGAAGGGCUUUCUGGGCUAGAAUUGACCGAGAGCUUUUCCGUCGCACAGAUUGUUUUUCACUUUGACCCCGGCCUUUGCACAUAAGGAGUCAGACACUUCAUGUGAACCUGUAGACAUCACAGAGGUAAAGUACCUUAAAUGACUCUCGAUUUCCUUUCAGUAUCUCCAAAAACCAACCGCAGUUUACUGAAAUGAAAGCAAAGUGCCCCAAGCUUGUUAUUGUUCGUAGAAAUAAUAAAAAAAAUAUUUACCAUAAAAAAGGAAGUUUGAUGACCUUUAAAAAUAAAUGUACUGGAAGGUUUCUGCUGCAAAACUAUUUAAAGGUUACCAGAUGGAACAUGUAUUAUCUAUCCAAUUUAACAUAAUAUUAUCAUCACAUUGUGAUACAGAAAGUAUAAUUAAUUCUCAACAGCAUCAGUGACAUCAGGGACAACCUGAGCACAAAUAUCAGAUCAAAUCAAUCUAAGGAGAAGAGUCUUGUGUAUUCAACCUCUGUCUCUGCCAAGCUAACAAAAACACUAGUUUCUAUGAAUUUGGUAAAAACUGUGAGAGUUUCAGUUUGUGACAGUUACCCAGCACAUGUGUGAGAGCAGCCUGGUAAGCUGUAUGGGGCCUCAACCAUGUAUAGGGGUGAAGUGGAGCAACAUCCUGUCCUGCUAUCUAGUCAGUGCAUCUGUAUGUUGGUGAUGGAUACAAAGCAACUUGAACAAUGGGGGUGGGGGAUGGAGGUGGGGGGAUGAUAAUAGCAACAGUGCGGAAAGUUGUGACAUUUGGACCAUUUACGGUCAGAGGACUGAGAAGAAGAGAGCUGAGCAAGGACAGAAACGUCAAGAUAAGUAUUCUUGCAGCAGUCCUGCUCACCUUGUUGAAUGUUACCUCAAGUGUUGUACAAUGCUUUUUUGUCUGGGCCUCGUCUCAGUCUGUCAGAGGAAAAUCUAAUACCAGACACAUUACACGUUUUCAGUUUAAUUAAUUGUUAAUUUGUUAAGGAUUUGUCAUGAGAAAGAUAUAAUUACCAUGUCUGCAAAGUUGCUGGUGAACCUAACAUAUAGACUGCCAAUAGACAGGAGCAGCUGUGCUGGGCACAUAAGCUAACAAGAUCCAACUAUAGCCAACGUUAACGUUAUAUAUUUUUAUAUAAACCUUAUAAAACCUGUAACUGAACUGUUGGCAUUCAAGGGCAUCACUAUAUGUAUUCCAGUUAGUUAGCUGUGAUCUGUAACGUCCCAGAAGUGUACCUGGUUUCCUGGCUACUGCUAUUGUCUAAAAAAAUAUUCAUAAGUCAGGGUGGCCAGACGUCCCUGAUUUCUGGGUACAGUCCCCAUAUUGGAUGACCUGUCCCUGAAUAAACAUGUUGUGUGCAGUCCUGAACAACAGUUUUUACAGGGGUUAUUACGGGUGGCAUGUGUUGCUACUAAUGAGUACUGAGAAGCAACUGAGUAAAGAAACAAUUUAGGAAAGAAGGAUACACAGAAAGAGAAAAUUGUCUAACAAAGGAGUCCACUACAUUCUAAGGAGACUAGAGGAACCUGGAAGUUAUGAUGAUAGAAAAAGACCUGGACAAAAGAGAGUUACUACAAAAGCAGAGGAUAAACAUAGCAUUGUCACCAGUAAGAGAGAUCGACGACAGACAGCACCACAAAUAAGGGAGGAAAUCAACAUGACAAGGUCGAAACUCAUAUCUCUGACAAUGGUGAAAAGACAUUUAAGAAAGGCUGGUCUGAGGGGUUGUGUAUUUGCAAAAAAGAAACAGUACUUUGUCCACAGAACAAGAAAAAUAGAUAUGAGUGGGCAAAAGCUCACAAAAAUUGGACUUAUGAUGACUAGAAACAAGUUUGCACUGUUUGGUUCAAAACGCAGAGUCAAUGUCCGCAGACAAACUGGUGAACGUCUGAAAGCACCAUGUGUUACACCCACAAUUCAGCAUGGAGGUGGUAGUUCCAUGGUAUGGGGAUGUUUUGCAGGUGAUGGAGUAGGAGAUUUGUUUGAAGUAAAGGGUAUCAUGAAGAAGGAACAGUACCACUCCAUCCUCCAGCACCAUGCUGUUCCAUCUGGACUCAGACUUGUGGCCCAUAAGUUUGUUUUGCAGCAAGACAACGACCCUAAGCAGUCUGCCAAGCUCUGUCAGGGUUACCUAGACAAAAAAAGAAGAGGAAGGUGUUCUUCAAAAGAUGGUUUGGCCCCCUCAGUCUCCAGACCUUUCUCCAAUAGAGCUUGUACGGGAUGAAUUGGAUCAAUCAGUCAGAAAGGCGCAUCCCACGUAUCAGCAAUAUCUUUUUAAUUAACUUAAGAAAGCUUGGAAUGCAAUCCCUGGAACAUACCUUAAAAACAUGUGGAACGAAUGCCUGGUAUAUGCCAAGCUGUUGUUAAAGCCAGAGGAGGUUACUUUAAAGAAAGCAAAGUCUAAGCAAUAAUAACUCAAAUACCUAAUAAUUAUAGUCAAAAUGUCUUCUGAUAAGUUACUCUUUACACAAUAGUCAUGUUUCUUGUGUUGCAAAUUAUAUUAAUGAAACUAUGAUCUUUUUCUGUACAAAUCUGAUCUUGCUUCCAAACUUUUGGCCUGUAGUGUAUAUGUACUGAGUGAUUAACUUCAUGCUGCUGAUACACCCAUACAGGACAAACUCAGACAAGACCACUGUAACCACAAGGAGUACCGUAGUCAACACAACUAAAAAGGUCCUUGAAUACGGACUGAAACUCUUAGGGGUGUCUCCUGAGCAGACACCCCCUGCGAGAGGACGCCCUUCCCUCCCUGCACCCUCCAUACUGAUCAGUAGGAUUUACUAUGCACUCGUCCACAGUUCUCAGCCGGUCACACACGCCCUCUGGGUCGAUCCAGGUCGAAUUCAAUUUGUAAGAUAUUAUGUAUUGAUCCCUGUGCUCCACCUCCCCCCACACCCCCACCUCUUUGCAGCCCUGGCAGGCACUCAUUGACCCACAUGCACAAUUCCUUGGAUCAUCCUCAUCAUCUCAGAAGUGUGGCAGUCUGAGCUAGUAUUAGGGUUGGUGGCCUUAGGCCCCUGUUGGUGACCCUCCAUUUCAUCUGCUGCCUGAGAUCACAAAAUCUAAGACUGUGAAUCAGUAGUGUUGAUAAAGCUUUGUUGAAAGAAAAUACAAUCCACAGUCCGGUUUAUCGGCUUUCUAGAUGCUACAAGGGCUCUUUUAUGAAAAUCUGGCAUCGAAAAAUAUUAAAUCAGACCAAUUGAGUUUCCUUGGCCUUCAGUUAGAUGUUUUAGAAAAUCUUCGAUAGAAGCUUCAUUUAGGUGGUUGUACUUCUUUAUAUCACUACUCUUAUGUUUUUUCAUAAAGAAUUGAUAACCAGACCCCCCCAAUUGCUUGCUCCUCCAACAUCAGCCAUUUAGCUUAGCCAACAGCCUCUAAAUCUCCCAAAUCAAUAGUUGUUCCCCAGUCUCUCCAUCAAACCCACAAGUAAAUAAUUCAAAUGAGAUACUUAAGCCCCUUGGAAUAUAAAUUAUGGAGGGAAAAAUCCUUAUUGUGGUUUUGGUGUGCAAUUUACAGGCUUAUAUUCUCUGUUGUGAACUGAGGGGGAACAGGAUGGGCACAUCUAUAAAUCUGUGGGUUAAAUCAAUGACAGCUGUGACUGGAUAAAUUGAGAUCUGAGAGGCCUUUAUGACUUUCUUAUCAGAUUUAUAUCAAAUAUUCAAGAAGCUGUAGAUCAUUUUUCUAUUUCAAAAUUUAACAUGUUUUUAAAACAAAAUGAAGACCCAGUGUCUUGGCUUAGGCCAGUGGCGAAACACACAAAUGUCAGCGAUGCAGAGCCUCAGACCUAGAUUCCACCCAACUCAUUUUGGUGCACCACAAAUGACUGACACAUUAACUGACAAGCGGAGGUCCUGCAUGUCUGCCACAGAUAAGAGAAAUAAGGUCACAUGCUAACAGGGGAGAAAGCGCUAUGCCAAGGUGAGCAAUGGCCAUGACAUUUCACAAAGUAGGCUAAUUCCCCAGAAAAUAUAGAAAGGGCACGUUGCACAUUAUUGCGUCACAUUGGUAAUCAUCAGCAAAGCACAAGUCAUGCACUUUCUCUUCACUGUGCAUACUUUGUCAAAGAGACAUAAGCCAUCACAAAGGGCACAUACAAUUAAUUACACACUUUAUUAUGUGUAUUCUAAUAAAAAGUAAAUGUCAGAAAAAUCACUACUCUGUACAAGCAAAGAGGAAGAGAACAGAUAUAGAAUUUUCCUUUUUUCAUGCACUGUAAUCUCGUGAUAUUAAUUUAUAAUCUUGUUAUCGCGACAUAAAAAAUUUGUUUUCUCAUGAUAACAACUCAUAGUCUUGUUAUCACAACAUAACAAAGAUAGUUUUCUCUUGAUAACUACUCAAUCUUGUUAUCGCAACAUAACAAAGAUCAUUUUCUCAUAAUGACUCAAUCAUGUUAUCACGACAUAAAGAUAAUUUUAUCAUGAUAACAACUCAAUCUUGUUAUCGCGACAAAACAAAGAUAAUUUUCUAAUGAUAACGAUUUAAUUAAUAAUGUGUCUGCCGUUGUUAUUAUAGUUGUCCAAUUCGCACAUGGCAGUUAAAUGUUCCCACCUUGAAAGUUUGAUGUGCAUGCACAAAGUGGAGCAUGACGUCAGCGCUGUCAUUGAAAACCCUAGCUUGCUGUUGACAAUGAUGGCUGGCUGCAGGCUUUAAGAAAUAUCCUACUCUGGGGGAUGUUUUUUAACAGUUACCAUUAUAGGUGAUGCCCUUUUCGUUAUCACGAAAAAACGAUCUUUGUUAUGUUGAGAAAAUGAAAAAACAAAAAUUCAUUUUUACGAGAAAACCAACUUUAUUAUAUCGAGAUGAUGAGAUAAGUGGUUAUCAGAUACCAGUGCAUCAAAAAAGAAACAUCCAUGGCCGUUCUUGUCUUCCGUACAAACAAUCUUCGAAACAAAUCUUCCUUUGAAAUGUUCAUCUUUGCCAGAAGCUCCACGGAAAUCCAUGGUCUUGAGAACUUGAGGGACUGUGUGCAGGCUGAAGGUAGUACCAAUGCAUCCAUUUGAGCAAAGAAGAGAGGAAAGAAAAUGAAGGCAGGAUGUCAUCUCAAGAGUCCCUGUGGGCUGAGCAAAGAACAGCACUGUGGAGUUUCCUCACCGGCAUGUGGGAUUCCCUCUGUUUACCCCUUCACUUCCUGUCCCAGCAAGGAAGCCUGAAACACUCUCCGUCUCCCCUGGCAGGAAACACGAGCCAGCUUUGCUUUGUGAGUCACACCAUGACCUUCAGCCAAACCAGAGUCACGUGAGCCCAGGGGAGAGUUUAAAUGCUAAAAGAAAACAAAUGUGCAUGCUGACAACGAAUUUUUAUGUCUCACUCAGUGUGAUGUUUUUUUCUUUUUCUUUUUUCUCAUGUGAAGCCUCUUUGAAAGCAACAACAAAUUGUAUCAUUCCAGGGGAGUUUCACCUCGCAUGUGUAUGUAAAAUGACUGAGGCCUGCAAAAAACACAAGACGGAAAUGUUGGGUCUCAAAGAGUUUGUCUUACUUUGAAGUUUGGGGAUGUUAAUAGUUGAAAGAGCCUUCAUUCAUUGUAUUAUAGCCCACAACAUCAUAGUGCAUUAUAAAAUGUUUUUUUUAUUUCUUUCUUUUUGUUUUUGUCAAAUAAAUAGAUAAGAAGGUUGAACCAUCCUCUUGACACAUUAUACAAAUGAAAGUCACCCAAACACUGUUAUCAGCUUGGUAACAGCCUUUAAUGUGGUAGAGACUAUCUGUAAGAUGUUAGUCAUAAACAUAAUAUCAUCACCCCUUUCGACAAAGCCAAGGAGUUGCAUAUAAGCGUGAUGAUAACAAACAACAGGGGAGUGAAGUGCUGUUCAAAGCCACAUAUACCACAAUCAACCAUUUUUGACCAAUGUAUUUAUGUAUUUACUUGCCUGUUGUGUACUGUUAUCAUGGGAGCAAUCAGUAUAAAAAGCAAUGUCUGAAGUGAUAACGGAGAGGGAAAAAUGGUAUUGGUACAUCAAGAAGCUGAAUCUAGCAGCUGGUUAGCUUGGCUUCCCACAGAUGCUUGAACAGGUGGUAACGGCCUAGCUCAAACUGAGCACAGUGAUGGAAUAAGUAAUCAGAUCCUAUAAUUAGAUAAAAGUACAAAUAAAACACUCUUAUAAUACUCAAUUACGAGUUAUUAAAGAACUUAUUCUGACGGUAUUAUUGAGGUAUUACUUGGGCAGCUUUUGCUCAGUUUUGUCCUUAUAUCACAGGGGUUGAUUCAAACUCCUUGUGUCCUUGUGCACAGAGAAGCCUGAAUUGCUCCUGGUGACAAAACCAGCUGUUUGAAAGUGUGUGAUAUUGAUAGGAACUUAAUAUAACAUCCUCUGCCAUCAGUGUAUGAAUGUGAGGUGAAUGUGUGUGUAUGACAUGUAAAAACAGAGAAAGUUUUAUGUUGAAUCAUUUACCAUUAACUUUGCACUGUUAAAUUGUUUAUAACCCUGAAGGACACCCAUUUUUAUGUUUCACUGCAUGUAGAAUUAAACACUUUGGCAGAUUGAUCUUAAAGUAAAAGCUCCUGUGAGGAACUCUGUGUUUGUGUUGACUUUAGCGCCCCCUCUGGACAAAAUGGUAACACUUUUCUUCUUGUUGUCUCCUUGUAAAAGUGGUGUUUAUUUGUGAAAAAAAAAACUUCUCCUGUUGUAUUUUUACAGCGUCCCUUAUCUCUCACUGUGACUGUUUGCCAUGGGAAAGGUAACUUAGUCUAUUUAUUCAGCAUACCUCCCCCUCACAGCAGUAACAGGCAUUUAAAAUUACAACAUAGAAAUUGUAAAUCUUGUCAUCAAUGACCUUAUUUGCUUUUGCGCAUCAUGGACACAUCACUGUUUGUUACGACCUGUUUCAAAAACUCCUCACUGGAGCUUUAACUAGUGUAGUUUACUCUUUUCAACUGGGUUUUUCAGACCCAUGGUUGUACUGUUUUUACAGAUCCAUAAUGUGACACUGAUGCAGUGGUGACACAAACACUGUGUCAAAACACCCCAGACUAAGUUUUGGCUAAUAAUUGGCCUAUAAGGUCAGUGAAACACAGAUCGACCCCUAAUAUUUGCUUAAUUUCAGUCUGCGAAUUUCCUCGAUAAAAUACGAGGAUGAUGCUCAAAGUUUAUCUGACGUCUGUUAUUGGUACUUUCAUUUAUUUAAAGCAGAAACAGAUUCAGCUUUUUAAAAGAUUCCCAAACUGACUGUGAUAUUUUCUAAAUAAAAGACGCUAAGUUAGAAAUUCAAAUCAACAUGAUUUAGCUGCCGUGCCCACUCUCACAUCAUCUUCUUUAUUUCUAUCCAUGUUUGUUUCACAGAAGCUCCUCGGGGGCACAAAAUGUAUUACAACAAUGGCAAAGUGGCAAACCUAAAAUGAGUCAUCCAUCAUUGCAAUUUUCAUGAAGCAAUUAGAAAUUUGGAGUUCCAUACAGAAAGUUUAAUAAAACCACGCUGACAAAUAUAUUAAGUGAGAGCAGUGACUCACUUCUAAUGGUUUGCUACAGGCAGCUCACAGACGUCCUUUUGAAAACCAAAUCAGAAACUCCACAAAGUUUCCAAUAUCAGCGUAAUGAAGACAAUCAAGCUUGUGGAGAGAAAUACAUAUGAUUCAAAACUAAUUUCUACUUAAUCACUUUUAGUACAAUAAAACCUAUGGAGUGGUCAUAAGUCAUAAUUCUUGUAAUGCUAACUUUCUUCUGGGGUUACAUAGUUGCCCCACUCGAUCGUAAGUUUAGCAAGAAAGAAAAAUUGAGCUUUAUGUUAUAAACUAAAUUAAACACAUCAAUGAUAAAAACCUAUCCAGAAGUAGCCUGGGGAUUUCAGGAUUCAUGGGUCAUCAUGGGUUCAUCCUUUCAUACUUUCUUAGUGAAAACCUGACAAGUCAAAGAAUCAUAUUUGUAUCAAAUGUUGAAGCAACCCACGGAAUAGUCCAUUGAUUGUUUUAGCCUGGGUUAAACUAUCCGGAUGAUCAACAGACUGCUUCGAUCAUCCCAUGCAGUGAGCACAAUUCUUAAGAUCCGUUCUGUGUCGUUUCUAAUGCCAAGUUUUUCUAUUCAAACUUUCCCUGCUUUUCAUUUCCUCUGUUAAACCAGUGGACUACAGUAUGUCAGAAUAUAUAAGCUCUGACUGAGUGAUGACUGGCUGUUGUUUUUGUUUCGAAGUUGACUGUCUUGGAAGUGUGCUUCCUUCCUGCCCUCCAGAUCUCAGGCAGCUCUGUCUAAGUUUGGUGUCAUGGGCCAACAGUCAGAGACAGGGCCGGCGGUGAGCCUGGACUACAUCAAACACACACCAGACGCUGCAGCCGGAAGACAGGCAGGAACUGUGAAGCUGCGCUCAGCUCUGUCACUGUCUAUCAUCAAAAAAAAGGAAAAAAACAAAAAACAAAAAGCUGACCUAGAAGGAGCGGUGCUGCGUAGAUGGGGGUGUCAAACAGGUGGGGAGGGAUGUAAGCCAAAAAGCAGACUGUUUUCUGUCAGUGUGUUCUUCUGCUCAACCCUGUCUGAA